This 305-nucleotide ribosomal RNA is filed under the name uncultured bacterium. Its description in RNAcentral is "bacterial SSU rRNA". It matches the Rfam family "Bacterial small subunit ribosomal RNA", at positions 333 to 653 of the family's 1533-position model. The record is from RNAcentral.
UGCGCCCUACGGGGCGCAGCAGUGGGGAAUAUUGCACAAUGGGCGAAAGCCUGAUGCAGCAACGCCGCGUGAACGAAGAAGGCUCUUGGGUCGUAAAGUUCUGUUCUGAGGGAAGAAGAAAGUGACGGUACCUCAGGAGAAAGCCCCGGCUAACUACGUGCCAGCAGCCGCGGUAAUACGUAGGGGGCAAGCGUUGUCCGGAAUUAUUGGGCGUAAAGAGUACGUAGGCGGUCUGUUAAGCGCAAGGUGAAAGGCAUAGGCUCAACCAAUGUGAGCCUUGCGAACUGGCAUCCUUUAGUGCAGGG